Molecule: ribosomal RNA, 327 nt
Filed under: uncultured bacterium
Lineage: Bacteria
Description: bacterial SSU rRNA
Rfam family: Bacterial small subunit ribosomal RNA
Source: RNAcentral
GAUGAACGCUGGCGGCGUGCUUAACACAUGCAAGUCGAACGAAGAAAACUUGAUUGAGAGCUUCGGCAGGAUUUCAUUUUUUCUUAGUGGCGGACGGGUGAGUAACGUGUGGGCAACCUGCCCUGUACUGUGGAAUAAUCACUGGAAACGGUGACUAAUACCGCAUGUCAUCACCGGAGGGCAUCCUCUGGUGAAAAAAGGAGCAAUUCGGUACAGGAUGGGCCCGCAUCUGAUUAGCUAGUUGGUGAGAUAACAGCCCACCAAGGCGACGAUCAGUAGCCGACCUGAGAGGGUGAUCGGCCACAUUGGGACUGAGACACGGCCCAA